UUGGGAGGGCGCUGGCACAUGCGAUUACACGAAUCACAUCAACUCUGCCAUCUAAAACAAAAUUUCUGCUCAUCACUGGUAAACUAAUGUUCUUUCUCCGAGAUAAGCCAGAGUGCGAGGAAGAUAGAGGAGUUUCGAAAUCGCAAUUUAUUCUAUUUCGAUUCCUACCCGUUGCAUACAGAAAUUCCGUUGAGCAAUCUAAUUUAUGGUUGUACAUAUAUUGGUUCUAUAGAAAGAGGCACGCAACUUUGUACAGGUGCCUCAACAUCUUCAAAUCUCAAACAGAGCUUAGUUCGGGUGCAGCACUUGCGCGGUAAUAGUCUGCAGACAAUACUCUUGCAUAAUAAGAUGCCUCCCUCAUCUGUUCCACAGCAACGGAACACGUGCUGCGCUGUCCUCUGUUUGCAGUCUUCUUUCAUUAUUUUCUAGAUUUAGAGAUCCUCUGCAAACGUUCCAGUCUGGUUCUGAGCGUUGUAAAGGAAUGAUAAACACAGAUGAUGUGACUCCCAAAUCUGCAGUUCGGAUAUGUAAUUGUAAUUCCCCCAUACCUUUCGUAUCUCGUUAAUUGUAUGGCGGGAAAGCAAAGUUUGGCGUUGCAACGGUCAUAUCUCCCAAGCAGAGCUGAAUUUCCCCAGAAUUUUUCUUUAAUGCUUCUAUACUCCAAGAACCGUCAUUCGCACCAUUUUCUCCUCAAUU
RNAcentral lists this long non-coding RNA (696 nucleotides) under Physcomitrium patens. RNAcentral's name for it is "long non-coding RNA (PPAT_LNC013022)". Lineage: Eukaryota; Viridiplantae; Streptophyta; Bryopsida; Funariales; Funariaceae. The record is from RNAcentral.